This 432-nucleotide ribosomal RNA is filed under the name uncultured bacterium. RNAcentral's name for it is "partial 16S ribosomal RNA". It matches the Rfam family "Bacterial small subunit ribosomal RNA", at positions 29 to 506 of the family's 1533-position model. The record is from RNAcentral.
AACGAACGCUGGCGGCAUGCCUAACACAUGCAAGUCGAACGAGACCUUCGGGUCUAGUGGCGCACGGGUGCGUAACGCGUGGGAACCUGCCCUUAGGUUCGGAAUAACUCCCCGAAAGGGGUGCUAAUACCGGAUAAUGUCUUCGGACCAAAGAUUUAUCGCCUUUGGAUGGGCCCGCGUUGGAUUAGCUAGUUGGUAGGGUAAAAGCCUACCAAGGCGACGAUCCAUAGCUGGUCUGAGAGGAUGAUCAGCCACACUGGGACUGAGACACGGCCCAGACUCCUACGGGAGGCAGCAGUGGGGAAUAUUGGACAAUGGGCGAAAGCCUGAUCCAGCGAUGCCGCGUGAGUGAUGAAGGCCUUAGGGUGGUAAAGCUCUUUUACCCGGGAUGAUAAGGACAGUACCGGGAGAAUAAGCUCCGGCUAACUCCGU